This 497-nucleotide ribosomal RNA is filed under the name uncultured bacterium. RNAcentral describes it as "partial 16S ribosomal RNA". It matches the Rfam family "Bacterial small subunit ribosomal RNA", at positions 28 to 507 of the family's 1533-position model. The record is from RNAcentral.
GAUGAACGCUGGCGGCGUGCCUAAUACAUGCAAGUCGAGCGAACGGACGAGAAGCUUGCUUCUCUGCUGUUAGCGGCGGACGGGUGAGUAACACGUGGCUAACCUACCUAUAAGACUGGGAUCACUUCGGGAAACCGGAGCUCAUAUCGGAUAAUAUUUUGAACCGCAUGGUUCAACAGUGAUAGACGGUCUUGCUGUCACUUAUAGAGGGAUCCGCGCUGCAUUAGCUAGUUGGUAAGGUAACGGCUUACCAAGGCAACGAUGCAUAGCCGACCUGAGAGGAUGAUCGGCCACACUGGAACUGAGACACGGUCCAGACUCCUACGGGAGGCAGCAGUAGGGAAUCUUCCGCAAUGGGCGAAAGCCUGACGGAGCAACGCCGCGUGAGUGAUGAAGGUCUUCGGAUCGUAAAGCUCUGUUAGUAGGGAAGAACAUAUGUGUAAGAAACUGUGGACAUCUUGACGGUACCAAAACAGAAAGCCACGGCUAACUACGUG